This is a long non-coding RNA of Vigna radiata var. radiata (mung bean), 2080 nucleotides long. RefSeq lists it as uncharacterized. NCBI's taxonomy places the organism in Eukaryota, Viridiplantae, Streptophyta, Magnoliopsida, Fabales, Fabaceae. The transcript has 2 exons. The record is from RefSeq and is a predicted model, not a curated record.
AUAAAUAAAUAACUAAAUGAAAAUAAAAAGUGGGAAUAAAAUAAACUAAGAAAUUAAAAAUAAUAAGUGAAAAGGGUGUGGUGGUGUUUAGGCAAAAGAGGGGUGUAAAAACUAUUAUUAUAAACAAACUGGGCUUAAACCCAAACUGGAUGGAGGUGUGAUUUAGUGGAAACAGGGGGUGCAGAAACGAUUUUUUUUUUGGUUGACAGAAUGGGCUCGAACCCAAGAGAUGGGGGUUGUAGAUGGAAGAAAAGGGGGGUGCGAAUGGGGAUGGCCCAUGAAUCUGGCCCAAGUGCUCACGACCUAGAAGCUCUAAGGGGGUCAAGAUUUUCUUCCCUCAUUCUUCACUCUCAGACUCAAACACCAGAGACUCAAGGUCUCGCGUCUCUCUCUCGCCUAACUCGGGGUCAGAGCUCGCACCGCACCGCCUUCAUUCGACGACCACACACAACCGCUUUCUCUCCACCUGGCGUCACCGGCGACGACGCGCCCUACCGGAGCCACCGCCGGCCGCGACAUCAUCGUUGUCCUUCUCUUCCUCUCGCGCUAGCCUAGGGCUAAAGCUUUGCCUCCAAUGCACCGCCGCUCCUCUUCGACAACCACUGCGUCGCCAUCACAGUCUCGUCGUCUCACUCUCGCCAGCGACCGCGACCUUCACCGUCACAUGAGAGAUUAUCCUCUUCAUGGAUCGCCACUAGUCAUGGCCCAAGGUCGCUGUCGGUCAUAGCCGACCACCUCUACCACCACAACCAGAUCCUCCUCUAGCCCUAAAACCCCAUCGUCACAACCACCCCCAAAACGCUACUGCGCCCUCCACCCGUGAGGGGUUCAUUGCUAGGUGCUCAAAUUUUUUGGCUUCGUUUUGGUUGUAGGUUGAAUAUGGGUUGGUGUAUGGAUGUUGGAAAUUGGCCCUUGUUUUUGGUGAUUGGUUCUGUUUUUGUGCGUAUUGAUUUUGGGUUUCCAUUUGUGGGAGUUCUUGAUUCAAUUCUAAUGAUGAACGAGGCUGGAUAGGGGAUGGAAGACGGUGGGAAAUUGGUUCAUGACUUGCUGUGUUUUCUUGAACAGGGGCAUAUGGAGUAGGGACGUGAUGAAUCUGUGUCUGUUCAGAUUGAAGAAGACUUAUGGUUUGGCUAGAGAGGAAGUUGUUUCGGUUUUCUGUUCUUUUCUAUUUUGGAAAUGCAUCUAAUUUUGCUUCUACAUUUUUCUAUAGUGUUUUCUGGGUACAAGUAGAGGGGUAUUGAAAUCAUGAUGUUGGAGAACAUGUACCUAGUCUCUACUGUUAGUGAUACAUGAUGAAUCUUGCAGGUAUUUGAUUAAACGAUGAUGCCAUGAAGAGAACACAACUAUAUUAUUAAUCAAGCACCAUUCAUUCAUAUUCAGGCAUGGCAUGCAAUAGGGGAACAGACAUUCGCAUAAGACCAAACCCGAGAAGCUUAGAUAGGGCAACUUACCUCUGUAGCUUCAACAGAAUUCUCCUGGGUAAAGGCAAAUGGUCCUCCUUUUCCCUGGCCGUAAGGUAUCUUCCUCCCAGAUUGUGACGAUAGGUAAAUGGUGAUGAGUUUCCAAUGCUCAAGCUCCGUUUAUGAGGUGCUUGAAACUGAAUCCUUUGGUGAAGGUCCUCUUGUGGUAAUGAGAUAUUGCAGAUAAUGAAAUAUUGCCGAUGAACAAUUGGGAGUGAAAGGGAAAUCCAGAAUGCUUCGUCUGUGAAGGUUUUUUCUAGUUUCUCAAUCGUCCAUGAUGGUCAGGUGUUGGAGAUGAAUAAUGGUUCUCGACUCCAUGCUCUCUGGUCGUGGUGGUGAGGUGAAUACGAGUUGUAUGUGAUGGGUAAAUGUGAAGGAUGACGAUGAAGACGUUGUGUGUGAUGAGGAUGUAGAAGUGGAGAGGUAGGAAUGGUAAGAAGGUCCGAAUGAUAUUGGUGAAGGAGGUGGAAACGUAUAGAGGAGCAGAGUAGUGGAGGGCAGUGUGGUGUCCUUCCUUGCCUGCCAAGACCAACAACCUCUGCCAAAAUCCAUCCUUUGCCAAGACCAUGUUGUCCUUCCUUUCACAAACUGACAAAGCCUUUUUCUUUUUCUUUUUUCCU